UGGGUUGUGGCUCAGAGGUAGAGCACUUGCUUAGCAUGCAUGAGGCACUGGGUUCGAGUCUCAGCACUACAU
Molecule: transfer RNA, 72 nt
Filed under: Ictidomys tridecemlineatus (thirteen-lined ground squirrel)
Lineage: Eukaryota; Metazoa; Chordata; Mammalia; Rodentia; Sciuridae
Description: Spermophilus tridecemlineatus (thirteen-lined ground squirrel) tRNA
Rfam family: tRNA
About the family: Transfer RNA (tRNA) molecules are approximately 80 nucleotides in length. Their secondary structure includes four short double-helical elements and three loops (D, anti-codon, and T loops).
Source: Rfam by way of RNAcentral